Molecule: small RNA, 354 nt
Filed under: Histoplasma capsulatum
Lineage: Eukaryota; Fungi; Ascomycota; Eurotiomycetes; Onygenales; Ajellomycetaceae
Also listed under: 1 other name
Description: hypothetical RNA
Source: RNAcentral
CCAUGACGCACGCUGCCCGGGCCGAGGUGCAUUUGGCUGACAGGUAAGGGGUUUCCAACGCUGAGAGACUGCUGGGCCAUCAUGGGAAGGGAAGGAAUCACUGCGGGAUAUCAGGUAGUUGGUUCGAAGACAAGCUGCCGACGUUUAGUCCUUUUUCUCUUUCGAUCCAUUAUACGCAUCUGGAAAGAAAAGGUAAAUGUAGGUUGAACUGAGAGGGGCUCUUGGGGGAAGAGAAAAUGCAACAUCAAAUACCACAUGUUGCUUCAAAACGAGGUAGUCAACUAUUGAAUGAGCGAUGAUACAUAUUUUAGUGCUUUUUGACUUCAAAUUGGUCUUAGUCCAGCUUAAAAAGGG